Podarcis raffonei (Aeolian wall lizard) is the source of this 248-nucleotide long non-coding RNA. RefSeq lists it as uncharacterized. The transcript has 2 exons. NCBI's taxonomy places the organism in Eukaryota, Metazoa, Chordata, Lepidosauria, Squamata, Lacertidae. The record is from RefSeq and is a predicted model, not a curated record.
AGUUGGUUGGAGUGGGAGUGAGUUGGGAUAGAGUUUGUGGGUAGGUUGAGUUAGUGUAGUGAAAUAAGCUGAGUCAGGAACAGUUAGGGGCUAGGAAGACAAGUAAAUAUCUGAGAGGUGGUUUAGUGAGUGAGAGCAGGUAGCGGAAGUUAUAGGCAGCCCAUGAUUGUAAUUGACCGAUACCGUUUAUGAAACCACACACUUGUUAAACUGCAAUAAAUAAACAGAAGUUUAUGUUCCAAUUUAAA